AACGAACGCUGGCGGCAGGCCUAAAACAUGCAAGUCGAACGCCCCGCAAGGGGAGUGGCGCACGGGUGAGUAACGCGUGGGAACGUGCCCUUCACUACGGGACAACGUCGGGAAACUGACGCUAAUACCGUAUAAUGACUCCGGUCCAAAGAUUUAUCGGUGAAGGAGCGGCCCGCGUCUGAUUAGUUUGUUGGUGGGGUAAUGGCCUACCAAGACUACGAUCAGUAGCAGGUCUGAGAGGAUGAUCUGCCACACUGGGACUGAGACACGGCCAGGACUCUUACGGGGGGCAGCAGUUGGGAAUAUGGAACAAGGGGCGAAAGCCUGAUCCAGCCAUGCGGGGUGUGGGAUGAAGGCCUUAGGGUUGUAAAGCACUUUCGUUGGGAAUGAUAAUGCCCGUACCCAAAGAAGAAGCACCGGCUAACUUCGUGCCAGCAGCCGCGGUAA
This 447-nucleotide ribosomal RNA is filed under the name uncultured bacterium. RNAcentral's name for it is "partial 16S ribosomal RNA". It matches the Rfam family "Bacterial small subunit ribosomal RNA", at positions 29 to 523 of the family's 1533-position model. The record is from RNAcentral.